CCCUUAGAUGUUCUGGGCUGCACGCGCGCUACACUGAAGCGUUCAACGAGUAUUCACCUUGCCCGGGAGGGUUGGGUAAUCUUUUGAAAACGCUUCGUGAUGGGGAUAGAUUAUUGCAAUUAUUAAUCUUCAACGAGGAAUUCCUAGUAAGCGCGAGUCAUCAGCUCGUGCUGAUUACGUCCCUGCCCUUUGUACACACCGCCCGUCGCUACUACCGAUUGAAUGAUUUAGUGAGGACUUCGGACUGGGACCGAUGCGGCUUUCGGGCUGCGUCGGUAUUCUGGAAAGAUGUCCAAACUGUAUCAUUUAGAGGAAGUAAAAGUCGUANCA
This 330-nucleotide ribosomal RNA is filed under the name uncultured eukaryote. RNAcentral describes it as "partial 18S ribosomal RNA". It matches the Rfam family "Eukaryotic small subunit ribosomal RNA", at positions 1470 to 1796 of the family's 1831-position model. The record is from RNAcentral.